This 481-nucleotide ribosomal RNA is filed under the name uncultured bacterium. Its description in RNAcentral is "partial 16S ribosomal RNA". It matches the Rfam family "Bacterial small subunit ribosomal RNA", at positions 28 to 507 of the family's 1533-position model. The record is from RNAcentral.
GAUGAACGCUGGCGGCGUGCUUAACACAUGCAAGUCGAACGAAGCAUUUAAGACAGAUUACUUCGGUUUGAGGUCUUUUAUGACUGAGUGGCGGACGGGUGAGUAACGCGUGGGUAACCUGCCUCAUACAGGGGGAUAGCAGCUGGAAACGGCUGGUAAUACCGCAUAAGCGCACAGUACCACAUGGUACAGUGUGAAAAACUCCGGUGGUAUGAGAUGGACCCGCGUCUGAUUAGCUUGUUGGCGGGGUAACGGCCCACCAAGGCGACGAUCAGUAGCCGACCUGAGAGGGUGACCGGCCACAUUGGGACUGAGACACGGCCCAGACUCCUACGGGAGGCAGCAGUGGGGAAUAUUGCACAAUGGAGGAAACUCUGAUGCAGCGACGCCGCGUGAGUGAAGAAGUAGUUCGCUAUGUAAAGCUCUAUCAGCAGGGAAGAUAGUGACGGUACCUGACGAAGAAGCUCCGGCUAAAUACGUG